GAUGAACGCUAGCUACAGGCUUAACACAUGCAAGUCGAGGGGCAGCGGGAUUGAAGCUUGCUUCAAUUGCCGGCGACCGGCGCACGGGUGAGUAACGCGUAUCCAACCUUCCGUACACUCAGGGAUAGCCUUUCGAAAGAAAGAUUAAUACCUGAUGGUAUGAUGAGAUUGCAUGAUAUCAUCAUUAAAGAUUUAUCGGUGUACGAUGGGGAUGCGUUCCAUUAGGUAGUAGGCGGGGUAACGGCCCACCUAGCCAACGAUGGAUAGGGGUUCUGAGAGGAAGGUCCCCCACAUUGGAACUGAGACACGGUCCAAACUCCUACGGGAGGCAGCAGUGAGGAAUAUUGGUCAAUGGACGAGAGUCUGAACCAGCCAAGUAGCGUGAAGGAUGAAGGUCCUACGGAUUGUAAACUUCUUUUAUAAGGGAAUAAACCCUCCAACGUGUGGGAGCUUGUAUGUACCUUAUGAAUAAGCAUCGGCUAACUCCGUG
This 490-nucleotide ribosomal RNA is filed under the name uncultured bacterium. RNAcentral describes it as "partial 16S ribosomal RNA". It matches the Rfam family "Bacterial small subunit ribosomal RNA", at positions 28 to 507 of the family's 1533-position model. The record is from RNAcentral.